RNAcentral lists this ribosomal RNA (441 nucleotides) under uncultured bacterium. RNAcentral's name for it is "bacterial SSU rRNA". It matches the Rfam family "Bacterial small subunit ribosomal RNA", at positions 28 to 464 of the family's 1533-position model. The record is from RNAcentral.
GAUGAACGCUAGCGACAGGCUUAACACAUGCAAGUCGAGGGGCAGCACAGGUAGCAAUACCGGGUGGCGACCGGCGCACGGGUGAGUAACGCGUAUGCAACUUACCUAUCAGAGGGGGAUAACCCGGCGAAAGUCGGACUAAUACCGCAUGAAGCAGGGGUCCCGCAUGGGGAUAUUUGCUAAAGAUUCAUCGCUGAUAGAUAGGCAUGCGUUCCAUUAGGCAGUUGGCGGGGUAACGGCCCACCAAACCGACGAUGGAUAGGGGUUCUGAGAGGAAGGUCCCCCACAUUGGUACUGAGACACGGACCAAACUCCUACGGGAGGCAGCAGUGAGGAAUAUUGGUCAAUGGCCGAGAGGCUGAACCAGCCAAGUCGCGUGAGGGAUGAAGGUUCUAUGGAUCGUAAACCUCUUUUAUAAGGGAAUAAAGUGCGGGACGUGUC